This 929-nucleotide long non-coding RNA is filed under the name Struthio camelus australis. RNAcentral's name for it is "lncRNA (ENSSCUG00000000912.1)". The record is from RNAcentral. Lineage: Eukaryota; Metazoa; Chordata; Aves; Struthioniformes; Struthionidae.
CUCAGAAGCUGUAUACGCUGCCUGUAUUUUGCUGCUACUAUAAUAUGGACAGGAUGUGAAUUCUUAAAGUUCACUGAUAAACCUGUACUUCAGAGAAGAUACCCACUGACUGAGAACUGUGCCACGGAGGGUAAGGGAAAAAGAGUGUGCUGAAGCUUUCCCAGACCCUGUAAGCUUGAACUUCAUAAUUAUAGCAUGAUGACACCCAAGUACUUGCAACAGAUGAAAUGCUACCAGGUGCAGACAGAUGCCAUAGAAGCAGUUCUCAGAUUCCGGAAAUAAAUAUCUCAUGGCAAUAUGUUGGUGCCACCUCCCUGCCAGCCAUGGAUUCUUUCCACGCAGAAGGAGAUUAUUCCCCUGCCCUCACUAACUUUACUGGUAACAUUUGCAGAACAUGCAAUAUCAUCGUCAUGCCAUGGCUGGCAACAUAUUUCCCACUGAAAUGCAAUAUUGGUGCCCCUGUCCUGUUUCAGGACCAUACACUGCAGGCAAAACUAGUUGACACAUCUGCUCAUCCAUUAUGUGUGGUGCAGGAUCAGGAGAGGAGCUACUCUACAAAUACACAACAUACUAGCGCCGUGGCCAUGGAGCAUGAAACGGCGGGAGGUGGAAGGAUCAAACAGCUCAACAAAAAUGAAAAAAGCUGAUUACAAAAAGGUAAGGGAGGGGACUAGAAGCCCUGCAAGGAACCUGAGUUUCCCUGAGAGUCCCACUCCCUGGCCUAAGUCUGCCUAAAUCCAGACCUAAUGGCUAGCCAUGUCUGUUACUGUGAGAAAACAAACUCAUUCUGAAAAUACAGGUACCUGUUUAUUUGGUGCUAUUAGGCGACAAGAAAAUGUUAUGUUUGCGCUAAUGAUUUGCACAGUUACUGGUUAUUUCCAAACAAGGUGGAUUUUUUUGAAUUAAAAUUCCAAGUGACCUGAACGAAC